UACGGGGGGGGCAAGCGUUGUUCGGAAUUACUGGGCGUAAAGGGCUCGUAGGCGGCCAACUAAGUCAGACGUGAAAUCCCUCAGCUUAACUGGGGAACUGCGUCUGAUACUGGAUGGCUUGGAUUCGGGAGAGGAAUGCGGAAUUCCAGGUGUAGCGGUGAAAUGCGUAGAUAUCUGGAGGAACACCGGUGGCGAAGGCGGCAUUCUGGACCGACAUUGACGCUGAGGAGCGAAAGCCAGGGGAGCAAACAGG
RNAcentral lists this ribosomal RNA (253 nucleotides) under uncultured bacterium. RNAcentral describes it as "partial 16S ribosomal RNA". It matches the Rfam family "Bacterial small subunit ribosomal RNA", at positions 524 to 776 of the family's 1533-position model. The record is from RNAcentral.